GCUGCAGAUUAGCAAGAGGGUAGAACUGAA
RNAcentral lists this non-coding RNA (30 nucleotides) under Rattus norvegicus (Norway rat). The record is from RNAcentral. Lineage: Eukaryota; Metazoa; Chordata; Mammalia; Rodentia; Muridae.